RNAcentral lists this ribosomal RNA (402 nucleotides) under Triticum aestivum (bread wheat). Its description in RNAcentral is "partial small subunit ribosomal RNA". Lineage: Eukaryota; Viridiplantae; Streptophyta; Magnoliopsida; Poales; Poaceae. The record is from RNAcentral.
AUGCUGCCGUCGCCAUGGCCGCGACCACCGUGCUCCCCGCGCCGCGAGAAGACGCCCAGAAGGACUGCCAUGGUCCACUUCGUCCAUCACGAGGACCGAAUCGAGCGGGGAAGGCCCGUACACUCGCCAUCGCCACCAUCUUCAUCUUGUACAUCGCCGCGGCCUCGACGUCGAUCCGCAUCACCUCGUCCAUCCCGGCCUCGUACGAGCUCACCACCGACCUCCUCUCGACCCCGUGACGAUGCUGAUGCCCCUGUGAUCGACUACGUCACCGACGACCCCUCCUUCUCGCCUGAGCAACCAGAUGACGGAGUCCAGGAGCCAGAUGACACCUUUGACGACUGCUACUACACCAAGGGCGUCUGCUACCACGUGACGGAGACCGCCGAUGACCAGGUGUAG